This 69-nucleotide transfer RNA is filed under the name Micadina brachyptera. RNAcentral describes it as "tRNA-Gln". Lineage: Eukaryota; Metazoa; Arthropoda; Insecta; Phasmatodea; Lonchodidae. The record is from RNAcentral.
UAUAUUUUGAUGUAUGAUGCAUAAAAGUUUUUGAUACUUUAAGUAACAGUUUAAUUCUGUUAAGUAUAA